AUAGAUUUCUGAUUAAAGAUGUAUAGAUGGAUCCCAAUAGAAGCUGAAACCAUCGCGAAGCUCAGAAAGUUGCUUGACGCAGCUAGAGAAUAGGCCAAUAAGCCAUGCAAGAUGUAAAUAACUUUAGUCAGCAAAUCGGUCCAGAGAUUUCAAAGAAUCGCGUCCAAUCAACAAAAGCGCAAAUGCACUCCAUUCAGAUUAUCAAGUUCUUCAUUUCAAUCUUUGAGCAAUCUCACUCAGGAGAUUGCAGCUAUUCCUCUUACAUGCCUUAACAGUUAGUAUUGCAGCAGUAACAUCACCUCGAGCAAAUCAAGCAUUGUUG
This 322-nucleotide unclassified non-coding RNA is filed under the name Hevea brasiliensis (rubber tree). The record is from RNAcentral. Lineage: Eukaryota; Viridiplantae; Streptophyta; Magnoliopsida; Malpighiales; Euphorbiaceae.